CUUACUUACACAAAAAGCCCUAAACCAGAGACGGAACAUGAAUUCAAUCACCAAAAGAUUGGCCCCUGCUACAAAACACUUCAACCAAGUUGAUCAGCAUAGAUCUGAAAAGCUAACCAAGAUACCAACUCAGACAAAGUCAAACGAAGCCCUUCAGGCUCAAAGGGGGAGCAGCACCCUCUGGAACAGACUGCUCCUUGUUAUGGACAUUCGGAUCUGCUCUGAGUAAAAAUAAAACAGGAAGCCAACAGCUUGGGGAACAAGAUUUCCUGUCACCAACAGCAACAGCUCAAGAACCAAGAGAAUCAGCUGCUUGCUCAUAACUUUGAACCUCCCUUUAAUAGUCAUUUCAUGGCAGCUGUGCCUAUCUUUGGGGUGCAGAGGUGUUUCCUGAAUGCUGUUCUACUAUAUGUCGGACUACACUCCCCCUCCAUCUUUGCCUCUGGACAGCCUUCUCUGGCAUCCAGGAGCAGUCAGGAGCUACCUCUUCCUGAACUCGGAAGCUAGAAUCCAUAUCUCCUGUCCUUGGCACUUCAUUGUCUUCUAUUUUGGAUUACAGUUCUUGGGAGGCAUGUCUCAUUCUGCCAUUUAACUGCAAGCUUUCUGAGGGCAGUAACUCUCUCAUCUUGUAUCCCCAAGGCCUUAUAUAUAGCAAGAAUUUAAUAAAUGCUGGAUGAAUUCAAA
Dromiciops gliroides (monito del monte) is the source of this 684-nucleotide long non-coding RNA. RefSeq lists it as uncharacterized. The transcript has 2 exons. The record is from RefSeq and is a predicted model, not a curated record. NCBI's taxonomy places the organism in Eukaryota, Metazoa, Chordata, Mammalia, Microbiotheria, Microbiotheriidae.